GACGAACGCUGGCGGCGUGCUUAACACAUGCAAGUCGAACGGAAAGGCCCGGCUUUUGUGGGGUGCGCGAGGGGCGAACGGGUGAGUAACACGGGAGUAACCUGCGCUGGACGUGGGGAUAACUUGAGGAAACUGGGGCUAAUACCGGAGAGGAGCGCCUGCUGCAUGGUGGGGGUUGGAAAGUUUCGGCGGUUGGGGAUGGACUCGCGGCUUAUCAGCUUGUUGGUGGGGUAGUGGCUUAGCAAGGCAUUGACGGGUAGCCCGCCUGAGUGGGUGACCGGGCACCUUGGGCCUGCGAUACGCACCAGACUCCUAUGGGAGGCAGCAGUGGGGACUCUUGCCCAAUGGGCGGACGCCUGAUGCAGCAGCGCCGCGUGCGGGAUGCCCGCUUUCGGGUUGUAAACCGCUUUCGCCUGUCACGGCGCGUGAGUGACGGUAAUGGGUAAAGAAGCACCGGCUAACUACGUG
This 468-nucleotide ribosomal RNA is filed under the name uncultured bacterium. RNAcentral's name for it is "partial 16S ribosomal RNA". It matches the Rfam family "Bacterial small subunit ribosomal RNA", at positions 28 to 507 of the family's 1533-position model. The record is from RNAcentral.